UUGAGAUUGGUUGAUUAAUUGACUAGUUGCGGAUAAGGAAAUUAAAUACAAGGUACACUGAUAAUUUCUAAAAAAAUUUAAUGUCAGAAAUAUACUGCAUUUUUAUAAUUUACUCUAAAAUAUGCAUGUUUUCAAGCUGAGUUUAAUAAAUGGAUAUUCAUUUAAUGCUCAUUGCUAUUUGGCAGCUUAACUGUAGUUUAAAAGCCUUGAAAAAUCCUCAAAAACCUAAAAUGGGAAAGCUAAACUAAAGAACACAGGAAACAUGGAAAAUGUUGCAAAAACCUUACAACCUUGAACGAGGAACAUAAGACAUGAAAACAUCAGGGAGGGAACACAGAUGAUAACACAGGAGAGAAUACAGACGAUCCGACAAAGAACACACUAAAUAUACACACACAAAAGGAAACGAGGAAUUGGCAGACAGGCACGAAACACAGCUGACACUAAUCAGAUGAGAAGAGACCAGGAGGAGAAUACACCGAUGCAGGGCAGGGACUAUCAAAGUAAAACAGGAAUAAACACGAAUAUCGAACCAGGGACAAUACACUGAAGACAAGGGAGGUACAGAGAACACCUAAACACUGGAAAUAAUUAACAAAUAACUAGGAAACUAACUGACACAAUGAAUAUUAAUAAACACAAACAACCAAGGAGACUGCGGACCAUGACAAUUGGUUUAUUUAAAACAAAAGUUUAAAAAAAUACAAAAUGUUGUUUUCUCUAGUAGAAGAAAUUAAACACUAUCAGAAUAUUCUUUAUAAAUAGAUAGCAUUGUUGUGGAUUAUAAGGAAUAAGCAUUAACAUAUCUACUGUUAAGCUGUAAAAACAAGUAGACAUCUAACAUGAAUAUUUUAUAUGAUUAUUUUCAAAGAUAUUAAAGUAUAUAGUCAGUCUCACCUUACAGAUUUUUGUGUCCUAAUCGAUCCGCUGCAUCGUCCAUUGGCAAGGUGGUCGGAGUGUGUUCGAAGAAUGUGAUACCAAAAUUAGCUGUAAACACGAUAUUCUUUGACACAUCCAUCUAUGCCACAAUCUUCACGGAAAUCUGGACUAUGGCUAUGUGCAGAAUUAAUAUGACUCAGUAGGGAUUUGAGGGUCAGACCCACAAAAACGAUGUAGAUAACACAGCGCCAAAUCAUUUUGUUUUACUGGUCUGUGAACUACUUUUCCCAUAAAGUCAAGAUAACCAGGAUUAUUCCAUUAUGGGGUAGAAAUGGCUAUCCUAAUUCAGUGCCUUAUAACAGCUGUAGUAUAAAAGAGCGAACUAAACCAUUUCCGUACACAACCCCAUACUCCUGAGUUGGUACAGCCCACCUUCCCGCCUCUAGCUCCGUGCCUAAGCGGUUGGAUUGCAGGAUUUUGGGGUCUGGGUGUAGAUGCGAUACAGUUGGUACAGUGUGAAGAAAUUAAGGCACGCUAUGGAAAAACUGGACGAAAUAACAAUUGCCAAUCUGAAAGGUAUGUGACUGUUUUGUUUUUUCUAUGUUUUGUGUUCUGGUAUGUUGCAUGUUAAGUCGCUAGCAUGGCAGGCUAUACCCGGUUGUUAGCUUAGCUUAGCUGUGCGGUUAGCUUAGUUGCAUUAGCAUUUUUAAAUAUGCUAGUGCAGAAAGUUAUGAAAGAAUUCAUGUCCAGUUAUUAGUUUCAGUGUCUGUGAAUUUAUUCAACAAGUGUGCAAAGUGCCAUAAGUUAAUGCCAGUUUUACAGAAAUUGUAGGAGUUUCAAAUUUCUAUUAGUGAAGUUAUUUCAUUAUAUACUUUAGCCCAGGAAGCAAAAAAAAAAAAAAAUACAUUUAUAUGUAUACAUGCAUUUAAUUGAUGUAUCACAAAUAUAUUACUUUUACCAGUCAAUAGGAGGAAGGUAAUUUAGAACCUGUGGAGCAGUGAGGAGGGAGAAUAAUGGAAUAGAGUCAUGGUUUUAAAUGGUAAAUAUUAAAUUAUGUUUCCUAUGUAUCCUGUCUGUUACCCAAGCAAAGCUGUCAGCUGGCUUGCACAUGAGGAUGAUGCAAUGUAGUGAUAAUUGGAAACUCCUAUUGCAGAAGCAAAUGUUGGAGAAGACCUGCUCUCAUCACUUUCACGAGAUGACAUCAAAGAUCUGUUUCCUGGUCCUGAACAUUGCCUCAGGCGUCGGGCUCUAUGGCUUGCAGUGCACAAAUGUGAAGAAAACAAGACUGCUGCUGAAAAAACGCUAACAACUACUGGAGAUGGUGACUUCUUCAGAGAGGAACCCAGCACUUACCUCCAUCCAAAAACUUUGGAUGGAGUGGAACAUGCAGCAGCUGUGUUCAGAGCCCUUCCCAUGCUUUUCCCUUCCAGCACAGUACCACCUAAGAAGCUGGGCAUCUGUAGUGAGGCUUUUUUCCAUGUCCUAAAGACUUCAGAAGACCCUGAAGGCUACCUGCGUCAGCGACCCCUGGCUUGUCCAGUUCUGCUUGUCUCUGAAGGCAACUGCAUGAUAGCUGUUGGAACCACACCGGUGAGCACUUUUGACCGGAAGGAUCUUAAUGAGGGACUGCUCUAUCUGAUGGCAUAUUACUAUGCCCUCCACCUCACAUAUCCAUAGUGCAUUUCCACGCUGCUGUCUGUCUUGCAAACUGAAAUACUCAAAGACUCCAUCCAUGACCGAGAUUCAACCCCCUCUUACAAGAAGGCGCUUGGUGAGUGGAAGUCAUUCAUUGAGUGAGUCUCCCAGAUGACAGACUCCAUCUGCCUUGUUUAUCAGACUCAGUGUUAGUCAGUGAGGUUGUUUUUUUUUCUAUAGAAAAGUUGUUCAAAUGUAAAACACAUGUUUGUUUGUGUGGUCGUUAAACUUGUUCUUCUAAAAUGUUAUGUAAUAUAGGAUUUGAAAUAGUGAUUGUUUUAAGCUUCAGCAAAAUUUAUUUUUGAUACCAGCCAUGAGUGUGUUAUACUGUUAUUAUUCAUUUUAAGAGUAUCUGGAAUAUGCACUUCUUAUAUUGGCCAUGUUACACAGUACCCUGCUGAAAUGUAUAAUUUUAGGCAUGAUUCUCCUGGAACAGACCUCAGUGAGUUACUGACCCAUUGCUGUGUCAAUAAAAGCG
Long non-coding RNA from Astatotilapia calliptera (eastern happy), 3052 nucleotides. Lineage: Eukaryota; Metazoa; Chordata; Actinopteri; Cichliformes; Cichlidae. The record is from Ensembl.